This 76-nucleotide small RNA is filed under the name Xanthomonas codiaei. Its description in RNAcentral is "sX9 sRNA". It matches the Rfam family "Xanthomonas sRNA sX9". Lineage: Bacteria; Pseudomonadati; Pseudomonadota; Gammaproteobacteria; Lysobacterales; Lysobacteraceae. The record is from RNAcentral. RNAcentral also lists the same sequence under 1 other name.
AUGUACCGCUCGUACACUCCGGUUCCUCCGCGCCGUCCGCAGCUGCCUGACGAUCGCUCGCUGCGGUUUGUCAGCG